CGGUGAGCAACCUGCCUUGGAGUGGGGGAAGAAACAAGCUGGAAACAAGUUGCUAAUACCGCAUAAUGCAGCGAGGGGACGAUCCUCUUGCUGCCAAAGAUUUAUCGCUCUGAGAUGGACUCGCGUCUGAUUAGCUGGUUGGCGGGGUAACGGCCCACCAAGGCGACGAUCAGUAGCCGGACUGAGAGGUUGACCGGCCACAUUGGGACUGAGAUACGGCCCAG
This 224-nucleotide ribosomal RNA is filed under the name uncultured bacterium. RNAcentral's name for it is "partial 16S ribosomal RNA". It matches the Rfam family "Bacterial small subunit ribosomal RNA", at positions 116 to 334 of the family's 1533-position model. The record is from RNAcentral.